This 867-nucleotide ribosomal RNA is filed under the name Exobasidium vaccinii. RNAcentral describes it as "LSU rRNA". It matches the Rfam family "Eukaryotic large subunit ribosomal RNA", at positions 78 to 941 of the family's 3401-position model. The record is from RNAcentral. Lineage: Eukaryota; Fungi; Basidiomycota; Exobasidiomycetes; Exobasidiales; Exobasidiaceae.
CCCUAGUAACGGCGAGUGAAGCGGGAUGAGCUCAAAUUUGAAAGCUGGCAGUAAUGUCCGCGUUGUAAUCUCGAGAGUUGUUUUCCGUGCUGGACCGAGUACAAGUUCCUUGGAAUAGGAUGUCAUAGAGGGUGAAAAUCCCGUACUUGACUUGGACGCCCAGUGCUUUGUGAUACAUCUUCGAAGAGUCGAGUUGUUUGGGAAUGCAGCUCAAAAUGGGUGGUAAAUUCCAUCUAAAGCUAAAUAUUGGGGAGAGACCGAUAGCGAACAAGUACCGUGAGGGAAAGAUGAAAAGCACUUUGGAAAGAGAGUUAAACAGUACGUGAAAUUGUCAAAAGGGAAGCAUUUGAAGUCAGACGUGUAUUUCAGUAUUCAGCCUUGCUUUUGCUUGGUGUUUUGCUGUUGUACAGGCCAACAUCAGUUUUGAGUGACGGAUAAGGGUAGGAGGAAUGUGGCACCCUCGGGUGUGUUAUAGCCUCUUACUGGAUACGUCGUUUGGGACUGAGGAAAGCAGCGCGCCGUAAGGCAGACCUUCGGGUACUUUCGCGCUUAGGAUGUUGGCGUAAUGGCUUUAAGUGACCCGUCUUGAAACACGGACCAAGGAGUCUAACAUGUCUGCGAGUCUUUGGGUGGCAAACCCGUGGGCGCAAUGAAAGUGAAUGCAGGUGGGAUCCGCAAGGAGCACCAUCGACCGAUCCAGAUCUUCUGUGACGGAUUUGAGUAAGAGCAUAUAUGUUGGGACCCGAAAGAUGGUGAACUAUGCCUGAAUAGGGUGAAGCCAGAGGAAACUCUGGUGGAGGCUCGUAGCGGUUCUGACGUGCAAAUCGAUCGUCAAAUUUGGGUAUAGGGGCGAAAGACUAAUCGACC